RNAcentral lists this ribosomal RNA (708 nucleotides) under Triticum aestivum (bread wheat). RNAcentral describes it as "partial small subunit ribosomal RNA". Lineage: Eukaryota; Viridiplantae; Streptophyta; Magnoliopsida; Poales; Poaceae. The record is from RNAcentral.
AUGAAGACGACUAAGCAUGUCAUAAGGAGUAGAAUACCCAGGUGGUGGUUGUAUGUAAACCUCCUCACGCAGCUCACUAUUAAGAAAGGCAUUCUUAACAUCAAGCCUAGACAUGAACUGGUGGCGAACAAAGGCCACAAGCAUAUGGUUUUGCAGGAGCAAGAGUCUCAUCGUAAUCAGGAUCAAGCUCCUGAUGAAAGCCAUGACCCACAAGUUUUUCUAAUGCUCAAGAGAACCAUCAGAGUGAGUCCUAACCUUGUAGACCCACCAAGUGAUGGGACGAACACGAGGAGGAACAGAAACAAUAUCCCACGUGCUGAUGCACUCAAGAGCAACAAUCUCCUGUGUCAUCACAAGGUGCCAUUUGGUAUGAACAACAUCACAACAAGAAGUCAGCUCAAGAAUAGCAGCGCCAACGCUUGGAAGACCAAGGCGGUCAUCAGGCCGAAGCGGACGAGGACGCAAGCCAUAAGUAGGCCAAGACGGGGAAGAUGGCACAUCAGUAGACGCAUCGACAACACGCAGACGACCUAUCUAGAAGUUAGGAUUUUUUUUUGGAAGAAUACGAGCUGGAAUCAUCGAGGGAUAAACUCAGGUGAUGGAGACAAGGAAACCACCGGUGAUGAAGGUGUAGAAUCAUGUGAUAAGCGAGGUGAGGAAAUCAUAGGAGAUGAUGACGUUGGUUCUACAAUAAUCAGAGAAGCAUGA